GGCCUGCAGGUGGCACGAGGCUGUGAAGGUGGCUGUGAGAUCACUUCUGUGUGUGGAGUUGACAGGCCAGCCCCAGAAAAGCAUUUCAUGCCUGAAGCAGCUGUUGGUCAGCCCUUGGCUCCUGGCUGGGAUCUGUGCAUACAGGAUCACAUCUGCAGUGUCCCUGAGAGGCUGACAGAAAGUGCCAGGUUGACGUGUUGCCUGCGGGAUCCUCUGUGCCUGAGCACCUGGUAGGGCCAUAGAGCAAGAAGGAGGUUUGUGUGAGGGAUUGUGAUGGCUCUUCUGUGUGAGUUCACAACUCAAUAGCAGGAGGGACAUGACUUGGUUGUGUCUACCUGGAAACUGGCAGGUGCCUUGGAAGAUGAUGGUGAGGUUCUGUCACAGAGUUAUCUAGGUCAGUCUAUGCCCGUGACAGGGGGCAGUAGGCCCCUGGCCCCCCUCCAAGCCCCACAAAAUGGGAAGGGUGAAGGAAGAGAGAUAGGAAGAUGGGAGCUGGGCUCAAGGAAGGAAAAAAGCAAAAACAGCAGCAAUGAUCUAUGGAGGAAAACUUAUUUUACUAUGAUAUUGGAAUGCAAGAUAACACAGUAUCAUAUAAUCUAAUUGAAACUGAGACUAAUAAACCAGGUAAGAUAGGAGAGAGAGAGAGUUCCUGAGUGAGUCAAACCUGAAAAGCUUGGAAGGGCUGGGAAAGCACCUCCAGCACCCACUGCCAGGCAGCAAGAGAGCACCCCAUCCAAAGGGCCAGGUGCCAUGACUUCAGUAAUGUACAGGGACAGGUACCUGGAACUGCAGCAUGAACACUUUAACUCCCAGUGCACUGCUUGAUGUUAUGGUGUGGAAUGCUGAAAACCAAAAACACAGAACCAUGACAUUGGAGUUACCUCUCUUUAUUCCAAGUUUAAUCGCACUUUACUCCAGGCCUACUCACACUUUACUCAAGUAUCUCUGACUCACGCUUUGCUCAAGAGUUACUCAAACUUUUCCUUAAAUUUACCCACACUUGACUCUGGGUUUACUCACACUUUUCUCUGGGUUUUACUGACACCCUACUCUGGCUGUGUACACCCUCUGUUCCAGGCCUACCCACACUUUACUCCGGGUUUUUCUCACACUUUAUUCUGAGUUCACUCACAUUUAAUCCUGAUUUAUUCAGAGUAUUCUCCGGGUUUUAUACACAAUUUUCCCCAGGUUUGCACACUCUUUACUCUGGAUUUACUCUUCCUCUACUGUUGUUUCUGCAUUUGAUAUUAAAAAGAGCAAUUGGUUUGAAGAAGUAGAACACAAUGCAUUCGUAUUCUGUAACAUCCUUAGAAAUAGUUGAUAUAAGAAGUAAAAUACUGUAUAUGUGAGCAGCGUGUUUUAGAAGCAUUGUUACUGAAUUAUGUUUUAUAUGUUAAUUCUUUCUUGUGAAACUGUAGUAGUUGUUAAAUGUUCCAAACAAUGUGUGUAUAGUAUUAGGGAUUAGAAAACAUCUUGUAGAGUUGUUCUGUUAGGAUAAGAAACUCCCUACAAAAGAAAAACAGAUUUAACAAACAUCAAAGAAGCCAGGGCCUCUACACAAGGCUGAACUGUCUGAUUCCGUGAGAAGUUUGGGAUGUGAUGAGCAGGCACCAAGAUCCUCCCCUCUGUUCUUCUCCCAAGCUUGUCUUUGUGGAAGGGAAGACAAGAAGGUAUCUGCAAAAGAAGUCUCAAGUGUGGAAUAAGUCCAUUAAUUAAUUACAGAUCUAUGCUUAGGCUGCAAAGAUUCAUGUUUGUCCAGUGUCUGCAUGUUUAGUGAAGCGUCGAGAAGAUUGUGAACCUAAAGCACUCAGCUAAUGAGGAACUAGGGGAGAAAGAGAUCAGCAUCGGGGAAUACGGAAUAAAAGAUGUAAUUCUGUUUUUCUGGGGUGCUCUCUUGCUUGCAGGAGGCCCUCCACUGCAAUUGUGAAUAAAAUCGGCUUCAUCAGA
Tympanuchus pallidicinctus (lesser prairie-chicken) is the source of this 1947-nucleotide long non-coding RNA. RefSeq lists it as uncharacterized. The transcript has 2 exons. The record is from RefSeq and is a predicted model, not a curated record. NCBI's taxonomy places the organism in Eukaryota, Metazoa, Chordata, Aves, Galliformes, Phasianidae.